CUCACCCGGCGGUCCGUCUGACUCAGCUUCCGGACGGGAUCAAUUUGGCGCCGUCUGUGGGAACAUAACAACCUGUUCUAGAACGUGAAGAUGGACGACGUCGGGAGGUUCUCUGCCAUUAUCACAAUCCCGGAGGAUCUUGACGCAUAUAUUAUAUUCUAUCCUCACUUCACCGGUAUUUGGGAGUCAAGGGAUCGAGUGGAGCUUCAGCUGGCUGAUAGGUUAGUUUUUCCAUUAUGUUUUUUCCCUGACUCCACGGGUAUUUGGGAGUUAAGGGACCAAGACAGACCUUAGUUGGUUGGCACGACUUCCCGAUCAGGUACGCUACGAGCUCUGCUCUCUUUUUACGAUUAUAGGAACUGUUAUAUUUUCCUGAUAAAAGAGUAAGAGCCUAGUUCCUUGAUUAAAGACUAGAGCCUUCAAUUUCUGAUCGGACACUAGGGGCCCAGCUCCCCGCUCAUACACUUGGGACACAGCUCCCCGCUCAUACUCUUGGGGCACAUCUCCCCACUCAUACACUUGGGACAUAGCUCCCCGAUCAUAGACUUGCAGUACCACUUCCCGAUCAGGAUCUAGGGGCCUCGUUCUUUGAUUACAGGCUAGGGACCUUACUCUCCGAUCAGGGACUAGGGGCCCAGUUCCUCCAUCAUGUGUGCAACAGGCUCUGCACCCUUCACCAUGAGGCUCUGCAUCCUCUUAUUACUACAAGCUCUGCAUCUUUCACCAUGGGCUCAGCAUUCUCUUAUUGCUAUAUGCACUUCACUCUACUAUUAUUAUAUGCUCUACAUCCUUCACUUGUUGUGCAGCCUCUUACAUCUAUAGGUGUUGUUCUCUUCACCUACGGUGCUCUGCUUCCUUCUACGGCUAUAGGCUUUGCUCUUUUAUAUCGGCUUCACACUCUUUAUCUUCUCCCCUCGCUCCACGGGUAUUUGGGAGUUGAGGGACCGAGACAGAUCCUCAGUCGGUUGAUACCACUUCGCGAUCAGGAAGGAUUCAACAUAACACAUCCUCCCCUCUUGGACGGCAACAACUUUGCCAAUUGGAAGAGAAAGAUGGAGUGCAUCCUUAUAAAUGAUUCUAAUUGCUGGAAAAUCAUUCAAGAUGGAGUUGACCUGCCAAAGACUCAAAAGGUGUGCUAUGCGGGUUUGAAUCAUGGACAAGCAGCCCAAUCAAAUGCAAAAAAACAACUAUAGUAAUUCUUUGUGGUCUGACUCAAGUUCAACUUGAGAAAGUUGGACCAUUUAAAGAUGUGAAGGAGCUUUGGGAGAAGCUUUGUGCCAAAAAUAAAGAAGUUGAAUCAAAAUAAGUCUGUUGAACCAUUCUUGUUGCUCAAUCAAAUUCCAAGGACUCAACCAAUGAAGCUCAACUUGAGUCAAAAUCUGAACUCGAAUCAAAAUUAGAACCCGAGUUAGAAUCAGAUCAAAGCAAGUUAAAGGUAAUUGAGUGAGGUAAUAUUUUUUUUAAUUCAAAGUUAUUUAUUAAGAAAACUUUUUAUGUUGAAAAUCCCUUGUCUAAUUUACUUAGCAUGAAUAAGUUGUGUGAUACUAGUUAUAAAGUAAAACGUCCUAUAACUAAGUAUAUUGAAGAACCAAACUUGACCUUAUUAGGAGUUAAGAAAAAUGACAUAUACACACUUAACCUAACUUAUUCCUCACACAAGCGUCCUACGACACAACAAGAGGAUAUUUUUUGGACAAACUAAGAGAUCAAGUCAUAACCAUUUAGGAUAUAAUCAGUAUUGGAUCCAUAAAUAUCAUGUUCAUUAUCUGGAUUCAACUCAUGUUAACUUUAGCUCAAACCUAGGAAAAGAUAGAAACUUUUGGAUGAAAAGAAAUAAAUCUUGAAUUUAGGGGCAGCUAACUCUUAGUUCUACAUAGACUAGGAUUGAGGUCUUAUUAGGUUUAGCUAGUUUAACUUAUUUUGAUUAUGUAGUAAAUUCUCUAAAGUUCAGCUUAACUUCAGAUGUUGAUACUUAGUUUAUUUGCCCAUAUUCAUGAUUACAUAUUAUAUUACUCAUUUUGAUAGGGUUAUAAAUGAAUCGAACGUUCAUAAAUAAGCUUGGUAUUCAACUUAGGAAGAGCUUGUUUACGUUCGUUCAAUGCACACAAAUCAAUUAAAUGAACAAGCUCAAACAACUCAUCAAACUAAACAAAUAAGUUUGAACACACGUGUUUAACUCAUUAAUGUUCGUGAACAACAUUCGUGAAAAUAUUCGUGAACAACGUUCAUGAACAACAUUCGUGAAAAAUAUUUGUGAAUCAUGUUCAUCAAUAAAACUAUUAUCAACAUGCUAAAUAAACAAAUAAAGUUUCAAAAUGAACAAACAAAUCUGUAUCAUCAAGCUCAAUAACCAACUAAAUAAGUUUGAAAUGUAAAAGUUUCAAACAAUUAAAUAAGCUUGAAUUGAGAACUUGAUAAUAUCUAAAUGAACAAAGUUUAAGCCAAGUUCGAACUAAGUUCAAGUUCAUACAAAAUAAAUCAAGCCAAACUUGAACAAUUAUUUCUAAAGCUUAGUUCAUUUUAGGCUCGUUUUUGGCUUAGUUACCUUAUCAAAUAAGCUUACAAAAUUGACUCGGCUUGUCUUGUUUGCAAUCCUACAUUUUGACUUGACUUCAAAACUACUUACCUACUUGAUUUUACUUAAUCUCAUUGCUUACAUAUAUAAGAAUUUAUUUAAAAGAUUUAAAUUACUCACUUAAAAAUUUACUUAAUUAUUCACUUAUUCAAAGUCAUUUUAUUUAACACUCACAUGUCAACACUUAUACUAAUGUCCACUUGCUUUAUUCAAAUACUUAUUCAUUUAAGUAGAUUCACGUACUCAUUCCAGUUAAUGCUUACUUGUUCUAUUAAGUGCUUAUGUUGAUUUAUGUUGACCAUGUAGUAAAUCUUUUGAUCUUAAAUUUACUUGUUUAGUUUCUUACAUGUCUAAUGCAUCAUGCUUACUAUUUUUGACUUAAGCUUAUUCUAUUUCAAGCUUACUACAAGCUUAGCUUACUACAAACUUAGGUCAUAUCUUACUUGAAUUAAAAUUCUUGAAGCACCUCUUUAAGCUUACUUUGUAAACGUUAGAGUUAACUUUAACCUGUUGACUUAGUUUGACUUGGCUUGUUCUGUGUUUGACUUGUUUAACUUUUAUGUUGACUACUCUAUUUGCAAAUCUACUUGCAUACUUAAUGCCUAUUUGGAUUAUGCAAUGAAUAACCAACUAGAGUUUCAUGUCCAGUUUGACUUUGUUCUAGUUUUGUUUGAUUUGUAAUGACUUAUGUUAACUUGGAGUAGGCUCAAGCAUAUCUUACAUCAUCUUUUUUGAACUUACUCGGAGUUAAUGUGCUUACUUGAAGAAUUGCUUAGUCAUUUUAAAGUCUUUAAACUUGCUUUACUUGAUUUACUUUACACCUCUAUGUUCAAUCACAUGUAUAAUUGCUCAUUUUAUAAAGAUUUACCUUCAUGCUUACAUUACAUGCUGAACUUGUUUAAAUUAACAAAUUUGAGUUUUAAUGCUAUGCUUCUUUUUAAACUAUAUUUAAACUCAAACUUCUUUCUUAUUUUUGAUGUAGGUAAAAGGAGGAGAGAAAAAUUUAGUUUAAAGUUUAGUAUAAAUUUCCUCAAUAUUAAAGAGUUUAUAUGAAAGGGGAGUUUUAUAUUAAGGGGGAGAGUUUACAAUUUUCACUUAAGCACAUUAAUUUAGAAAAGUUUAAUUUGAAGUUUGUUUACUCUUAGUAUAAAUUUCCUCAAUAUUAAAGAGUUUACAUUAAGAGGGAGUUUUAUAUUAAGGGGGAGAGUUUUCCAUUUUCAUUUAAGAACAUUAAUGUAUAAUUGCAAAUAUAUUCUUCUUUAUCAUAUAUAAUGUAUAACCCUCAUUUUUAAUAUUGUUGAUUUAGCUAACUUUAAAUUAAGUUUUCAUACGAUAAAAAAAAAGAAAGAUUAUUGGUAUUUAGAGCAUAACAUUGAACCGAUGUUUUGAUGUAUGACUAAGUUUAAAGUUAAUAUAUUUGUGUACAGAUGGAUGUUGUCAAGUAUGCAAGUGCAGGAAAUUUGACAAGUGGAUAAGUCCUGGUUGGGAACCAGACAAAAAGCACUACUAGAAAACUAGGCUUUUGAGACAUAACAAAAUAUAUCUUAAAUUAUAAAUUUAGUGUCUCAAAAUAUUUUUGAGACGGUAAUGUAGUCGUCCCCAAUAUAAGCAUCUCAAAAAAAUAUUGAGACAAUUGUACCAUAUCAAAUGCUAUUUAAGACUGUGAUGAGACAGUUGUUCAAUUGUUUAAAAAGUAUUUAAGAUAGUUAUUUUUUUAUCUCAAAUAUUAUAUCUUAUCCUAUGAAAAAACUAGAACACUAAAUUAAGAUGGUAAUGUGGUGUCUCAAAUAAAAGUGAAGAUAGUAAACUACUGUUCCUAAUAUUUUAACUUGUUAGAUACAAUAUUUAUGACGAAAAUUAUUAAUCUUAAAAGAACAUUUACUAUACAAAUUAAUUUAGAUCAGAUUUAUUGAAUUACCAUUUCAAAACAAAAGGAAAACUUUAUUUAUAAAUUAAAAGUGAUAUACAUAAUAUAAAAUUCUACAAUCAUUAAUUGAAGUGCAUCCAACAUUCAUCCAAUAAUAGAAAUAACUACAUAUCAAUCAUUAAUUUGAUAAGAAAAAAACUACUAUUCCCAUGAAAGCUACACAAGAAAGCCUAAAAACAACUCCAUGAUCUGGAGAUAACUUUUAUAAUUUCUCUUCAUCAGAAUCCUCAACAUUAAAAAAAAAAAACUCUAAUUAGAGGUAAAGAUGAUUUAUAAUAUAUACUAUUCAGAAAAAUCAAUAAAUAGAACUUUCUAAUAAGAAAUUUCAUCAUCCAACACAUAAUCCUCUUUCUUGCAAUUAUAUAUAUAUACAACACAAAUAACCCCAAGUUAAACAAACCUCUUCAUCUCGUAAUAAGAAAUGGUGGUUUAUGUGUUUGUCAAUAUCUUUAUUUCUUUCAAGUUAUUACACCUGUAAAAUAGAUUUAUCUACAACUUAAAAAAUAUGUACACUACUACAUCACCAAAAAUUGUUAAUAAAACUAAAAAAAAUCUUGUGAAAAUAACUACCAAUGUACCUGUUGGCAUGGUUACCCAAUCCUUGUACAGGUGAAAUAAUAUUAUCUGUAACCUAAAUAAAAAUAGUGUACGUAUCAAUAGGGAUUCAUGAUUCUCUAACUUUGAUUGAAGGUUAAGAAAAAUCACCGAUGUAAUAAAAAAAUAUGUCUUCAUGUUGAUAAAUAAACACUCUCUUCAACAUUUCAAAAACAAUACGGAGGUGAUGAAAGUUGGAUGUCCAUGUCAAAUUGUAGAUGAGAAUGUCAUUAAAGUAGACCACCACAAACUUUCUCAUGAAAGGUCACAAAAUCUGAUGCAUAAACCAUAAAAAGGUGUUGAACGCAUUAGACAACCCAAAAGGCAUGACCAUCCAUUCAUAUAUUGCAUCUUGAAUGUAGUUUUCCAUUUAUCUCCGGGUCUUAUUAUGAUAUGGUAAUAUCCGUUUUUAAGGUCAAUUUUUUAGAAGACCUUAGAACUGGAUAGUUGAUCCAACAUGUCAUCCAAGCAAGGAAUUGGGAAUCUAUACUUCACAGUGAUCUUGUUGAUGACUUGGUUGUCAACGCACAUACUCCACGAACUAUCUUUCUUUAGCAUAAGUAGAGCUAGAACUGCACAUGAGCUCAUGCUCUCACGUAUAUAGCCCUUCUCUGGUAAUUCCAAGACCUAUCACUACAAUUCUUCAUCCUCUUUGGGACUGAAGCAAUAUGUUGGUCAGUUAGGUAGACUCGACCCUGAAAUAAGGUUAAUUUGAUGCUGAAUAUCUAGUAUGGGUGGUAUAGCCCAGAAGGAAGAUCCUCUCAUCUCAUCAUAAUAUACUAGCAAUUAUUGUACUUCAACUGGUAACUCAACGUCCAUGGAUACGACUUUGUUCUGGCAUGGUAGCAAAUCAUAGACAACACCUCCAUGCUCUAUCUCAUCUAAAAACCUAUAGAAAGUAGAUUAGUAAGAAUGGGAGUGGUUUCUUCUCACCGUGUCACCAACACAAUUUUUUUUCCUUUGACUUGAAGGAUAUAUGUAUUCUUCCGCCCAUCAUGGACAGCGCGCGAACAUACUGCCAAGGCCGCCCAAAUAACACAUGGCAUGUGUCCAUAGCCUCCACAUCAUACUAAGCACUAUCAAAAUAUUUACCAAUUGAAAAAGAUACGAGAUAUUGUCGGUCUACUAUUAUCUUACUAUCUUUAUUCAGCUAGGAUAACUUGUAUGCAUCCUAUGGGCUAAUGAGAGGGGAGAAUAGAGGAGAACUCAAGAAGAGAGAACGCCAAAAAAUAAGGGAAACUCGUCAGAUUUACUAGAAAAGGAAACUUUGUUAAUAAAAGAGGGAUGAAUUUUCAUAUAACUAUACAUGUGUUAUAUAGUUUCUAAACUCUAAGACAAAGAAAUGAAAGAAAUCCUAAUUCAUGGACCUCAAUUCUAAUCUUGUAGAGAAAGAAAAGAGAUCUUUCUAGGAAAAGAAAUCUUUUGACAGAAAUUAAAAUUAAUAAAAUAGGACACGGUCAUAGACUAAUUGUGGCACAUAAUUACCAAGAAUAUCAAAAAUAUCCUAAAUAUUAUAAAAUAAUAAUAAAAUCUUCGGAGACUCAGAUGAAAACAAAAAUGGUGGAAUUUGGGUCAAAAAAUUGACGGUUACGGGUACCCAUAACAAAUGUAUAUUUUUAAAUUAUGCAUGCGUGGCCAUCGACAGAGUUUGAUUUCGAGUUCCGAUUCAAAAGUUAUGACCGGCCGUUUGAAGUUUAAAGAGUUAUGUUGGAUUGAUCUUACAUCAUGGAGUUGGGAUGUUCCAUGCAAUUAGAGGCAAGUCGGGGUAACCGGAGGUGCUCCCAGGCAACUGGUAGAAGACGAGAUACAAUGAUCGAGGCGAGACAAUCAUGAUAAGAUUUGACUAUGCUCCAAACUACUGAAGGACUUCUAGUCGACUGGAGACCAUGGACGACAUUAUCUAUUGAAUACUAGUGGCAGCCAUGUUAAUGACUUCUAAGUGACCGAGGAGGUUCUAGUCGACCAGAUUUUACCAUGUUAGCAUCCAAAGGAGUGUUAUAAAAGGAGUCUCGAAGCAAAACUUUAAAAUUAACAUUUUCAUCUUGGUGCUAGUACUGUGCUCUCAUGCUUUAUGCUUUCUGUGCUGCAAUGACAACAUGCUACAACAACUACAAUAGGCAACUCUAAAGCAUAUUUCUUAUUAUUUCUGUUGUUGUAUAGUUUUUUUUACUUAUUUUUAUAUUUUUUUUCUGUAAGAUUUCUCCAUCUUAGAAGUUUUCUAAAAAAGGAGAAAUUAGAAAUAAGUUUUUUUUAAAAUUAUUUCUGCUCUGUUUGGAUUGCUAACUAAGUCUUGCAAGCUCUAUUUGAUUCAAUUUCUGACUA
Molecule: long non-coding RNA, 7418 nt
Organism: Zingiber officinale
Lineage: Eukaryota; Viridiplantae; Streptophyta; Magnoliopsida; Zingiberales; Zingiberaceae
Exons: 2
Source: RefSeq, a predicted model, not a curated record